This 68-nucleotide small nucleolar RNA is filed under the name Drosophila melanogaster (fruit fly). Its description in RNAcentral is "partial small nucleolar RNA snoR328". It matches the Rfam family "Small nucleolar RNA psi18S-1377", at positions 72 to 140 of the family's 140-position model. Rfam says of the family: psi18S-1377 is a member of the H/ACA class of snoRNA. The record is from RNAcentral. Lineage: Eukaryota; Metazoa; Arthropoda; Insecta; Diptera; Drosophilidae.
GCUUAUCACUCCACAAUGUUGAGCCGAGUUUUCACGGUUACUGCAUUACUUUCCGGCUCGCCACAUCA